AGCAGCCGCGGUAAUUCCAGCUCCAAUAGCGUAUAUUAAAGUUGUUGCAGUUAAAAAGCUCGUAGUUGAAUUUCGGGAUCAAUAUGUUGGUCGUGCCUUGGUACGUACUGGCAUUAUUGGUUUUUACCUUCUGAAGAACCUCGAUGUCAUUAAUUUGGUGUCUUGGGGAAUCAGGACUGUUACUUUGAAAAAAUUAGAGUGUUUAAAGCAGGCUCGCGCUUGAAUACAUUAGCAUGGAAUAAUGAAAUAGGACGUUUGAUUCUAUUUUGUUGGUUUCUAGGAUUGACGUAAUGAUUAAUAGGGAUAGUUGGGGGCAUUAGUAUUCAAUUGUCAGAGGUGAAAUUCUUGGAUUUAUUGAAGACUAACUACUGCGAAAGCAUUUGCCAAGGAUGUUUUCAUUAAUCAAGAACGAAAGUUAGGGGAUCGAAGACGAUCAGAUACCGUCGUAGUCUUAACCAUAAACUAUGCCGACUAGGGAUCGGGAUGAUGUUAAUUUUUAAUGACUCAUUCGGCGCCUUAC
This 520-nucleotide unclassified non-coding RNA is filed under the name uncultured Glomus. Its description in RNAcentral is "SSU rRNA". It matches the Rfam family "Eukaryotic small subunit ribosomal RNA", at positions 569 to 1091 of the family's 1831-position model. Lineage: Eukaryota; Fungi; Glomeromycota; Glomeromycetes; Glomerales; Glomeraceae. The record is from RNAcentral.